RNAcentral lists this ribosomal RNA (497 nucleotides) under uncultured bacterium. RNAcentral's name for it is "partial 16S ribosomal RNA". It matches the Rfam family "Bacterial small subunit ribosomal RNA", at positions 28 to 507 of the family's 1533-position model. The record is from RNAcentral.
GAUGAACGCUGGCGGCAUGCCUAAUACAUGCAAGUCGGGCGAACGGACGAGAAUCUUGCUUCUCUGAUGUUAGCGACGGACGAGUAAGUGACACGUGGAGAAGCUCAAUAUAAGACUGGGACAACUUCUGGCAACCAUAGCUAAGACCGGAUAAUAUUUUGAACCGCAUGGUUCAAAAGUGAAUGACUGUCUUGCUGUCACUUAUAGAUGUAUCCGAGCUGCAUUAGCUAGUUGGUAAGGUAACGGCUUACAAAGGCAACGAUGCAUAGCCAACCUGAGCGGGUGAGCGGACACACUGGAACUGAGAGACGAUCCACACUGCGACGGGAGGCAGGAGUAGGGAAUCUUCCGAGAAAGGCGAAAGGCUGACGGAGCAACGCGGCGUGGGUGGUGAAGGUCUUGGCAUGGUAAAGUACUGUUAUUAGGGAAGAACAUAUGCGUAAGUAACUGUGCACAUAUUGACGGUACCUAAGCAGUAAGCCACGGCUAACUAUGUG